Molecule: ribosomal RNA, 484 nt
Filed under: uncultured bacterium
Lineage: Bacteria
Description: partial 16S ribosomal RNA
Rfam family: Bacterial small subunit ribosomal RNA
Source: RNAcentral
AUUGAACGCUGGCGGCAGGCCUAACACAUGCAAGUCGAGCGGAUGAAGGGAGCUUGCUCCUGGAUUCAGCGGCGGACGGGUGAGUAAUGCCUAGGAAUCUGCCUGGUAGUGGGGGAUAACGUCCGGAAACGGGCGCUAAUACCGCAUACGUCCUGAGGGAGAAAGUGGGGGAUCUUCGGACCUCACGCUAUCAGAUGAGCCCAGGUCGGAUUAGCUAGUUGGUGGGGUAAAGGCCUACCAAGGCGACGAUCCGUAACUGGUCUGAGAGGAUGAUCAGUCACACUGGAACUGAGACACGGUCCAGACUCCUACGGGAGGCAGCAGUGGGGAAUAUUGGACAAUGGGCGAAAGCCUGAUCCAGCCAUGCCGCGUGUGUGAAGAAGGUCUUCGGAUAGUAAAGCACUUUUAGUUGGGAGGAAGGGCAGUAAGUUAAUACCUUGCUGUUUUGACGGUACCAUCAGAAUAAGCACCGGCUAACUUCGUG